AUGCUUCAAAAAAAUUUUGAGGUGGGGAAAGAUUUAAAUACAACUUAAUAAUGUACUGCCAUUUAGUAAAUUUGCAUUGUAAGUGAAGAAAAAGAAACACCUCAGGUGAUAAUGAAGGUUUACUGCUUGCAUAUGUCAAAUUUGUAAGGGAUGAAAAGCCACAGAGGAAAUGUUGCUUUCAAAAUUACUGACAAUGAAUAUAAACACAUUUCCAUUGCCUGAAACUCUUAAAAUUUAUUAAAACAGUGCAUUUCUCAGAGUCAUCGCCUCUGCUGCAGAUGGAACAGCAGCCAUGGAGAAUAAGGGUCACCUGAAUGUGGAAAAGUUGAGUUGGAGCAAAACUGGCAUGGCCGUACUGGAUGGACCUCAGCAUGACCAGGACACAUUUCAGCUCAAAUCCCCUGUGCCAAGAACACAUUCUGCCAAGGACCACCACCUCUUCCCACAACUAUGAGUGGAUUUAUGUCAUCACAGGAGGUGCAAAAACGUGUGGUGAGCUAUUUCCAAGACCGCAACCUAGAAAUUGUGAGAAGCCUACCCAGGACCACAGUGACAACGCAGUCUUCAGUGGUUCAGCCUCCUGCCCCCUCCCAGUGCUGGUGUUCCCAAAUGCAAGGGGAUUUCAGACAUUCAGCUUUUCAUUUACCUCCAAGGCACAGAUGCCGAGAUGUCCCCAUGUCUGUCUUCAGAGUCUCAUUUGCAAAUUGGCAGCUUCAUACCACUCUCGCUAUCUGCAUUGCUAUAUUUACACCUGAGCUGAUGUGUACCCGGGGAAAGUGUGCUAUGACCCAGUGCUUGGGUGGCUUAUCUAAAGCCAUCCAGAGUCUCUAACUCCUGGUACAUGGGGAGCCUUUCUGGGUCAUCUUCUCAGCUCUGCGCAGCCACUAAUGCUUGCCUUUUAAGACUGUAGAUGAAAAGGGUCAAACUCUGAAAAAUAUUUGAAGAGAAUUCUUCUGAGCCAAAUAUAAGGCACCAAUAGCCUGUGACACAGCUCUAGGAGAUCAUGAG
Pan paniscus (pygmy chimpanzee) is the source of this 1008-nucleotide long non-coding RNA. The record is from Ensembl. NCBI's taxonomy places the organism in Eukaryota, Metazoa, Chordata, Mammalia, Primates, Hominidae.